Molecule: non-coding RNA, 64 nt
Organism: Pelobates cultripes (western spadefoot toad)
Lineage: Eukaryota; Metazoa; Chordata; Amphibia; Anura; Pelobatidae
Source: the annotation of a GenBank genome assembly
CCUAUCAACUUUCGAUGGCCUACCAUGCUGACCACGGGUAACGGGGAGUCAGGGUUCGAUUCUG